CUGAAUGUUGACCUCGGAUCAGGUAGGAAUACCCGCUGAACUUAAGCAUAUAAACGGGGGAGAGGGGAA
This 69-nucleotide ribosomal RNA is filed under the name Fusarium oxysporum. RNAcentral describes it as "partial 28S ribosomal RNA". Lineage: Eukaryota; Fungi; Ascomycota; Sordariomycetes; Hypocreales; Nectriaceae. The record is from RNAcentral.